CAGCUCAAAUUUGAAAUCUGGCUCCGCCCGAGUUGUAAUUUGGAGAGGAUGCUUCUGGGCAGCGGCCGGUCUAAGUUCCUUGGAACAGGACGUCACAGAGGGUGAGAAUCCCGUACGUGAUCGGCGCGCACCCUCCACGUAGCUCCUUCGACGAGUCGAGUUGUUUGGGAAUGCAGCUCUAAAUGGGAGGUAAAUUUCUUCUAAAGCUAAAUACCGGCCAGAGACCGAUAGCGCACAAGUAGAGUGAUCGAAAGAUGAAAAGCACUUUGGAAAGAGAGUUAAAAAGCACGUGAAAUUGUUGAAAGGGAAGCGCUCCCAAUCAGACCUGUCGGCGGCGUUCCGCCGGUCUUCUGACCGGUCUACUCGUCGUCCGCAGGCCAACAUCGUCUGGUGCCGCUGGAUAAGCCGUCGGGAAUGUAGCUCCUCGGAGUAUUAUAGCCCGUCGGGAUACGGCGCGCGCCGGGCGAGGUCCGCGCUUCGGCAAGGAUGUUGGCGUAAUGGUUGGCAGCGGCCCGUCUUGAAACACGGACCAAGGAGUCUAACAUCUAUGCGAGUGUUCGGGUGUCAAACCCCUACGCGCAAUGAAAGUGAACGGAGGUGGGAACCGCAAGGUGCACCAUCGACCGAUCCUGAUGUCCUCGGAUGGAUUUGAGUAAGAGCAUAGCUGUUGGGACCCGAAAGAUGGUGAACUAUGCCUGAAUAGGGUGAAGCCAGAGGAAACUCUGGUGGAGGCUCGCAGCGGUUCUGACGUGCAAAUCGAUCGUCAAAUUUGGGUAUAGGGGCGAAAGACUAAUCGAACCAUCGACCGGCAGGUCGAAUUGCUAGGUGGUUGAGAGGGCGGCGCGCCCUAGUCGCCGGCCGCACGGCCGACGGCGACACUAUCAAAUUGCGGGGAGGCCCCGGAAUGCCAUCCGCUACCGCGCGGCCGUUCGCGAGACGGCCGCGGCCCAAGGGGGGUACAUGUACCCCCGGGCGAGGGUAACAACGCGGUGGACAUCGGGGUGACCUGCAGCCAACUCCCGGCCCCGGGUGGGCUCGGA
Molecule: ribosomal RNA, 1040 nt
Filed under: Nowamyces piperitae
Lineage: Eukaryota; Fungi; Ascomycota; Dothideomycetes; Capnodiales
Description: partial 28S ribosomal RNA
Rfam family: Eukaryotic large subunit ribosomal RNA
Source: RNAcentral